This 253-nucleotide ribosomal RNA is filed under the name uncultured bacterium. RNAcentral describes it as "partial 16S ribosomal RNA". It matches the Rfam family "Bacterial small subunit ribosomal RNA", at positions 524 to 776 of the family's 1533-position model. The record is from RNAcentral.
UACGUAGGCAGCGAGCGUUGUUCGGAGUUACUGGGCGUAAGGGGCGUGUAGGCGGUUUGUUAAGUUUGGCGUGAAAGCUCUCGGCUAAACCGGGAGAGGUCGUUGGAUACUGGCAAACUAGAGGACGGUAGAGGCGUGUGGAAUUCCGGGUGUAGUGGUGAAAUGCGUAGAGAUCCGGAGGAACACCUGCGGCGAAGGCGGGUUGCUGGGCUGACACUGACGCUGAGGCGCGAAAGCUAGGGGAGCGAACGGG